UACGUAGGGUGCGAGCGUUAAUCGGAAUUACUGGGCGUAAAGCGUGCGCAGGCGGUUCGUUGUGUCGGCGGUGAAAGCCCCGGGCUUAACCUGGGAAUGGCCGUUGAAACUGGCGAACUGGAGUGUGGCAGAGGGGGGUGGAAUUCCGGCGUGGUAGCAGUGAAAUGCGUAGAGAUGCGGAGGAACACCGAUGGCGAAGGCAGCCCCCUGGGAUAACACUGGACGCCUCAUGCACGAAAGCGUGGGGAGCAAA
Molecule: ribosomal RNA, 253 nt
Filed under: uncultured bacterium
Lineage: Bacteria
Description: partial 16S ribosomal RNA
Rfam family: Bacterial small subunit ribosomal RNA
Source: RNAcentral